AAUAUUGCACAAUGGGCGAAAGCCUGAUGCAGCAACGCCGCGUGAGCGAUGAAGGCCUUUGGGUCGUAAAGCUCUGUCCUUGGGGAAGAAAAAAAUGACGGCACCCUUGGAGGAAGCCCCGGCUAACUACGUGCCAGCAGCCGCGGUAAUACGUAGGGGGCAAGCGUUAUCCGGAAUUAUUGGGCGUAAAGAGUGCGUAGGUGGUUUUGUAAGCGCGGGGUGAAAGGCUAUGGCUCAACCAUAGUAAGCCUUGCGAACUGUGAGACUUGAGUGCAGGAGAGGAAAGUGGAAUUCCUAGUGUAGCGGUGAAAUGCGUAGAUAUCGGGAGGAACACCAGUGGCGAAGGCGACUACCUGGACGACAACUGACGCUGAGGCACGAAAGCUAGGGGAGCAAAC
Molecule: ribosomal RNA, 398 nt
Filed under: uncultured bacterium
Lineage: Bacteria
Description: partial 16S ribosomal RNA
Rfam family: Bacterial small subunit ribosomal RNA
Source: RNAcentral